Molecule: ribosomal RNA, 486 nt
Filed under: uncultured bacterium
Lineage: Bacteria
Description: partial 16S ribosomal RNA
Rfam family: Bacterial small subunit ribosomal RNA
Source: RNAcentral
AUUGAACGCUGGCGGCAUGCCUUACACAUGCAAGUCGAACGGCAGCACGGGUGCUUGCCCCUGGUGGCGAGUGGCGAACGGGUGAGUAAUACAUCGGCACAUGUCCUGUAGUGGGGGAUAGCCCGGCGAAAGCCGGAUUAAUACCGCAUACGAUCUACGGCUGACAGCGGGGGACCUUCGGGCCUCGCGCUAUCGGGUUGGCCGAUGGCUGAUUAGCUAGUUGGUGGGGUAAAGGCCUACCAAGGCGACGAUCAGUAGAUGGUCUGAGAGGACGACCAGCCACACUGGGACUGAGACACGGCCCAGACUCCUACGGGAGGCAGCAGUGGGGAAUUUUGGACAAUGGGCGAAAGCCUGAUCCAGCAAUGCCGCGUGUGUGAAGAAGGCCUUCGGGUUGUAAAGCACUUUUGUCCGGAAAGAAAUCCUUGGCUCUAAUACAGUCGGGGGAUGACGGUACCGGAAGAAUAAGCACCGGCUAACUACGUG